RNAcentral lists this ribosomal RNA (1762 nucleotides) under Holopsis rotundata. RNAcentral describes it as "SSU rRNA". It matches the Rfam family "Eukaryotic small subunit ribosomal RNA". The record is from RNAcentral. Lineage: Eukaryota; Metazoa; Arthropoda; Insecta; Coleoptera; Corylophidae.
CAUGCAUGUCUCAGUACAAGCCAAAUUAAGGUGAAACCGCGAAAGGCUCAUUAAAUCAGUUAUGGUUCCUUAGAUCGUANNNNNNNUUACUUGGAUAACUGUGGUAAUUCUAGAGCUAAUACAUGCAAAGUAGAGCUCCGACCGGAAACGGGAGGAGUGCUUUUAUUAGAUCAAAACCAAUCGGCGGCGGACGCGUUCGCGCGUUCGUCAUCGUAUAACUUGGUGACUCUGAAUAACUUUAUGCUGAUCGCACGGUCUCGCACCGGCGACGCAUCUUUCAAAUGUCUGCCUUAUCAACUGUCGAUGGUAGGUUCUGCGCCUACCAUGGUUGUAACGGGUAACGGGGAAUCAGGGUUCGAUUCCGGAGAGGGAGCCUGAGAAACGGCUACCACAUCCAAGGAAGGCAGCAGGCGCGCAAAUUACCCACUCCCGGCACGGGGAGGUAGUGACGAAAAAUAACGAUACGGGACUCAUCCGAGGCCCCGUAAUCGGAAUGAGUACACUCUAAAUCCUUUAACAAGGAUCAAUUGGAGGGCAAGUCUGGUGCCAGCAGCCGCGGUAAUUCCAGCUCCAAUAGCGUAUAUUAAAGUUGUUGCGGUUAAAAAGCUCGUAGUCGAAUUUGUGUCUCGCGCCGCCGGUUCAUCGUUCGCGGUGUUAACUGGCGUUUUGCGGGACGUCCUGCCGGUGGACUUAGCUCGCGAGAGCGGUCCAAUUUAAUCCCGCCGCGGUGCUCUUCACUGAGUGUCGAGGUGGGCCGGCACGUUUACUUUGAACAAAUUAGAGUGCUUAAAGCAGGCUGAAAUUUUGCCUGAAUACUGUGUGCAUGGAAUAAUAGAAUAGGACCUCGGUUCUAUUUUGUUGGUUUUCGGAACCCCGAGGUAAUGAUUAAUAGGUACGGAUGGGGGCAUUCGUAUUGCGACGUUAGAGGUGAAAUUCUUGGAUCGUCGCAAGACGGACAGAAGCGAAAGCAUUUGCCAAAAACGCUUUCAUUGAUCAAGAACGAAAGUUAGAGGCUCGAAGGCGAUCAGAUACCGCCCUAGUUCUAACCAUAAACGAUGCCAGCUAGCGAUCCGCCGACGUUCCUCCGAUGACUCGGCGGGCAGCUUCCGGGAAACCAAAGCUUUUGGGUUCCGGGGGAAGUAUGGUUGCAAAGCUGAAACUUAAAGGAAUUGACGGAAGGGCACCACCAGGAGUGGAGCCUGCGGCUUAAUUUGACUCAACACGGGAAACCUCACCAGGCCCGGACACCGGAAGGAUUGACAGAUUGAGAGCUCUUUCUUGAUUCGGUGGGUGGUGGUGCAUGGCCGUUCUUAGUUGGUGGAGCGAUUUGUCUGGUUAAUUCCGAUAACGAACGAGACUCUAACCUACUAACUAGGCGUAUUAGACAUCCUAAAGGCCCGCUCGUCCGGAGUUCGCUUCGCGACUUGCGCGGUUUUUACUGUCUGCGUACAUAUUAUUCUUCUUAGAGGGACAGGCGGCUUCUAGCCGCACGAGAAUGAGCAAUAACAGGUCUGUGAUGCCCUUAGAUGUUCUGGGCCGCACGCGCGCUACACUGAAGGAAUCAACGUGUCUUCCCUGACCGAACGGUCCGGGUAACCCGCUGAACCUCCUUCGUGCUAGGGAUUGGGGCUUGCAAUUGUUCCCCAUGAACGAGGAAUUCCCAGUAAGCGCGAGUCAUAAGCUCGCGUUGAUUACGUCCCUGCCCUUUGUACACACCGCCCGUCGCUACUACCGAUUGAAUGAUUUAGUGAGGUCUUCGGAC